RNAcentral lists this ribosomal RNA (394 nucleotides) under uncultured bacterium. Its description in RNAcentral is "partial 16S ribosomal RNA". It matches the Rfam family "Bacterial small subunit ribosomal RNA", at positions 523 to 918 of the family's 1533-position model. The record is from RNAcentral.
AUACGGAGGAUGCAAGCGUUAUCCGGAUUUAUUGGGUUUAAAGAGUGCGUAGGCGGAUGAUUAAGCGUGAGGUGAAAUGCCACUGCUCAACAGUGGAACUGCCUCGCGAACUGGUUGUCUUGAAUGCUCCUGCCGUGGGAGGAAUGUGUGGUGUAGCGGUGAAAUGCAUAGAGAUCACACAGAACACCGAUUGCGAAGGCAUCUCACGAAGGGGUGAUUGACGCUGAGGCACGAAAACGUGGGGAUCAAACAGGAUUAGAUACCCUGGUAGUCCACGCAGUAAACGAUGAUAACUAACCGCUGGGUCGUAGUGAUUCAGUGGCCAAGCGAAAGCGAUAAGUUAUCCACCUGGGGAGUACGACCGCAAGGUUGAAACUCAAAGGAAUUGACGGGG